This is a long non-coding RNA of Brassica napus (rape), 1445 nucleotides long. RefSeq lists it as uncharacterized. The transcript is spliced from 2 exons. The record is from RefSeq and is a predicted model, not a curated record. NCBI's taxonomy places the organism in Eukaryota, Viridiplantae, Streptophyta, Magnoliopsida, Brassicales, Brassicaceae.
AAAGUCAAGUUACAUGAACAUAACACAAUCUAUCAAAGGUAAGAAGAGACGAUCAACCAGUAUUCUUCAUCUUCUUGUUCCAAAAUCACUGUUUGAAACGAAACAGUCAAUGUCUUACAACAAAGAUGUGAAUGUAAAGUGUUGUACAUGUUCGGAUCCAUCUUGCAUCCAGUGGAGUGAUAUAUAUCCACAUGCUCAAGUAAAUAGGAGAAAUAUGUGGGCAAAGAAGCUAAAGUAAACAUUGUUUCAUUAAAUCAUUAAAGCAUUUCAACACCUUGAGGGUUCUAAAACACACACAAAAUACUGAUUUAUAAAUAUAUAAGCAACUUCUAUGUAUGUUCUUUUACAUACGAGUUAGUAUGAAAACAGCUGCAAUGUUGUUGUUUGACCACAUUUAUUAUUUAAUAGUUAACUUCUGAUGCUUUUAAGAUAAUAUGUUCUUCCCAACUCUUGUCAAUAUGAAACCAAGAGCAAAGUUUCAUCUUUAGACAUGAAAGACCUAUUAAAUGACCAAAUAACAUAGUUUAGCCGAAAGCUUCCUAAUAAAAUUUAUUAUCACUAUCUAAAUCUAAAACUGAAUUCAAUUCAUCUAUCUGAUUAUUAUAUAGUUUUCAUUUUUUCGUUAUUUUAUUGAAUUAAGUAAAAAAAUUAAUUAUAAACGUACUAAUUUUUUAAUAUAAUCUUAUAAAUUAUGUUACGUGUAGGACAUCCACCUAAUAAACUAUUAAUUUAAAUAGUAAUGUUUGAAAAGUAUUUUAUUGACAUUAUUUUAAAUAAAUUCAUAAUUCUAAAAAUAGCAAUAACUUUUUGAGAACAUCAGAUUUAUGUACACACAUAGGACACAUACCUUUUUGUUUACUUAAAGGAAAAUGAACGAGUCUAAAGCUUCCACAUGUUAUAUGAGCAAAACAUGGAUUUUUCUAAAUUAGAUUCGUUUAAAUCGGAACAUAUUAAUGUGAGUUUCUUAAAUUAGAUUUUUAAUAUGUAUAUAUACGUAAGAAUACUUCUUAUGUUUAAAAAAAAAAUAGAAUACUUCAUCUCUUUCCUAAAUUUUUAAGCCAAUAUCAAUCCAUUUCUAUAAUUCAAGAUAAAGAAAUCCCUUAAACUCUCGUUUACGUUCUUAAUUAUCUCCAUCAUUCUCUCACAAGGAAUGAUGGCAGAAGCGCAGAAAAAGAAUUGUCCUCAUAAAAUUCCAAUAAAAGGAAGCUAUUGUGCUCCAACUAUAUGUUUGGAUAAGUGUAAGAAGCAACAUGGAACUGUUGGUAGUUGUGCGGAAGAAAAAGGAUUUUGUAACUGCGCUUGUAAAUAAGGGUUCUCACUAAGUGUUAUGAAUCUAGUAAUGUCCAACCAAAGUUUUAUAUUAUUUCUUUUAACAAUAAGUCUAAAUGUUUGUUUUUGAUUUGUGGAUCUAUUUAUAAUAAAUAAUAAUAUGAAUGUUAAAUAAA